RNAcentral lists this ribosomal RNA (735 nucleotides) under Acinetobacter sp. RNAcentral describes it as "bacterial SSU rRNA". It matches the Rfam family "Bacterial small subunit ribosomal RNA", at positions 97 to 827 of the family's 1533-position model. Lineage: Bacteria; Pseudomonadati; Pseudomonadota; Gammaproteobacteria; Moraxellales; Moraxellaceae. The record is from RNAcentral.
GGCGGACGGGUGAGUAAUGCUUAGGAAUCUGCCUAUUAGUGGGGGACAACAUCUCGAAAGGGAUGCUAAUACCGCAUACGUCCUACGGGAGAAAGCAGGGGAUCUUCGGACCUUGCGCUAAUAGAUGAGCCUAAGUCGGAUUAGCUAGUUGGUGGGGUAAAGGCCUACCAAGGCGACGAUCUGUAGCGGGUCUGAGAGGAUGAUCCGCCACACUGGGACUGAGACACGGCCCAGACUCCUACGGGAGGCAGCAGUGGGGAAUAUUGGACAAUGGGGGGAACCCUGAUCCAGCCAUGCCGCGUGUGUGAAGAAGGCCUUAUGGUUGUAAAGCACUUUAAGCGAGGAGGAGGCUACUCUAGUUAAUACCUAGGGAUAGUGGACGUUACUCGCAGAAUAAGCACCGGCUAACUCUGUGCCAGCAGCCGCGGUAAUACAGAGGGUGCGAGCGUUAAUCGGAUUUACUGGGCGUAAAGCGUGCGUAGGCGGCUUAUUAAGUCGGAUGUGAAAUCCCCGAGCUUAACUUGGGAAUUGCAUUCGAUACUGGUGAGCUAGAGUAUGGGAGAGGAUGGUAGAAUUCCAGGUGUAGCGGUGAAAUGCGUAGAGAUCUGGAGGAAUACCGAUGGCGAAGGCAGCCAUCUGGCCUAAUACUGACGCUGACGUACGAAAGCAUGGGGAGCAAACAGGAUUAGAUACCCUGGUAGUCCAUGCCGUAAACGAUGUCUACUAGCCGUUGGG